This 363-nucleotide unclassified non-coding RNA is filed under the name soil metagenome. Its description in RNAcentral is "partial contains 5.8S ribosomal RNA, internal transcribed spacer 2, and large subunit ribosomal RNA". The stretch from base 1 to 120 matches the Rfam family "5.8S ribosomal RNA", at positions 35 to 154 of the family's 154-position model. The record is from RNAcentral.
GAUGAAGAACGUAGCGAAACGCGAUAGUUAAUGUGAAUUGCAGAAUACAGUGAAUCAUCGAGUCUUUGAACGCACAUUGCGCCCCUUGGUAUUCCGAUGGGCAUGUCUGUUUGAGCGUCAUUACAACCCUUCGGUUCAACUUUGCUGUUGAAACGGUUUUGAGCCCUUUGGAGCUUCACUGCUCCGGCUUUAAAGUUGUACGCUCUGCGGGUGACUUAUGCCAGACCGAACAUAGUAAAAUCUUUGCUGUUCCGGUUCUCUUGGUUAAGGAUCACUUCGCCUGAACAAAAAUCUACUUCUUAGGUUUGACCUCAGAUCAGACAAGGAUACCCGCUGAACUUAAGCAUAUCAAUAAGCGAAGGA